UAACUAUUCUUGCUUGAAUGUUUAGAUACAAAAUGUCGUUUCACAGCUUUGUUAAACACACACUCCAUCUCUUCACUUCCUAUUUGUAUAGCAAAUGUUGGCUGAAUGUCCAGGUGCAGGACAAGCUCUUAAGCAAAAAGUACAGAAGGUGAGUAGAGAACAGCCUUCACCAAAAGCCAAUGUGAGAACAGAGAUUAUGUGUGACCCUACACACACACACACACACACACACACACACACAUUCCUGCGUUGGAGUGUAAUAGACGCUUUCCAAGCUGGUCAUCACAAUUAAAUUUAUGGUCUGUACUGGUGAUGCUGGUUUGGACCCAGACCUAGUCAUGGUUAGAGUACAGAUCCAUUAAGUUAGUUUAAAAAGAAUUAUUAUUUUUUAUCAGACAGCACAGUCCUAACCAUGUCCACUUAGAAAUGAGUUUCAAUAAAUUCAAUUGGACUUACGGACAGGUAAGUGAGGUUAGGAUUGCAACCUUAGUCUGGAUCCAACCUCUUCUGGUGACCGUAAUUGUAAUGUUUUAUUUUUAAAUCUUUAAGAUAGUAUUUUAGUUUUCUGUUAUGUUGCUUUGACUGUAUACUCUAUAUUUGACUUUCUUUAGAUUGUUUUAUUUAUGUUUUAUUUAUUUAAUAUGCUGUAAACUGCUUUGAGAUUUUUCUUAAAAAUAUAAAGCGGUAUAGAAAUUUAAAAAAUAAAUAAAUUGUGAGCCCCUUCUCUGCCCUUUUGAGAAUAAAAACAGCUUACAGCUUAAUAUAUAAAAGCUAUAACUUUUAGAAGGAAAGGCUAUCUCUAAUUUUUUUUCCCCAUUUCAUAUUACAGGAUUAAACUUGAACCAGAACAAAUACAAAACAGCAAUUGCAUGGGAUGCACUUUUUGCAAAUUGAGACAAGAAUACCGCCACAUUUAAUCAAGAAUACUUUAUAUCAGUCACUCCUGUGAACUGGUUAAAGUUUUUAUAGUUUUUGUGAAUUUGAUGCCAGACUUCUGUUGAGUGAUAAUCAGACAACCACCACCAGGCUGAAACCAAUGG
Non-coding RNA from Podarcis lilfordi (Lilford's wall lizard), 1040 nucleotides. The record is from the annotation of a GenBank genome assembly. NCBI's taxonomy places the organism in Eukaryota, Metazoa, Chordata, Lepidosauria, Squamata, Lacertidae.